Arachis duranensis is the source of this 3749-nucleotide long non-coding RNA. RefSeq lists it as uncharacterized. Lineage: Eukaryota; Viridiplantae; Streptophyta; Magnoliopsida; Fabales; Fabaceae. The record is from RefSeq and is a predicted model, not a curated record. The transcript is spliced from 6 exons.
AAGCAGAAAACGGCCGCUACUUAUUUAAAUCCCUAGUUGGCCCAGAUAUUUUCUCAUGAACUCGAAACUCCUAAGCAUCGCGCUCUCUCUCUCUCUCUCCAUCUGAUUCGCCAUUCGUAUGAGAAUUCUCGGAACCAGAUCUCGCAUUCUUCUUCAUGCCUUAUUUCAUCGUCAAACUUUACAGAGAGUCUGCGAUCUUCUCCGUGAAGCUCGCUUCCGUACUGCAUUAUCGGUUUCUUUCGCAACUCACAGAUUCUGCGUUUCGUCCGAAUCACGUUAGCGGAAGUAUCGCCGAUUGUUUUUCAUCCAGUUCGAACAACAGCAAAUUCUUCAGGUUGUAAUUGCGUUUGGUUGCUGAGAAGCUGCGGGAAAAUACAGGAUUUGUGAUGGUUUUUAUUCUGAUGUGCUGAAAACACUAGACUUGAUGGAAAAAAAAACCCUACAAAAAGUUUAAUCCCAUGUUACAAAAGAAAUACAGAUCAUAAAUCCCAAAAAGAGUUUGGUAUUGCAUCUUGUACACUUGGAUUGAGAGUUCAUCACCAACGCUAUUUGGCAAUGAGCAGAUUAUCCCGCGAUAACAUGUUCUUACUAGAGAGAGAAAACAUCCUGGCAUAGCAUUUGACUAUUUAAACAUUUCUUCUAGAUCCAUGUUUUUAACAGUAGAGAGAAAGGGUCUGGUAUGGAGGAGUGCUUAAUUGUAAUGAGCUGAGGAAUGAAGUAUGCUUCCACUUAAGAUUCAACAAAGGAUUUGACGCCUCUUAAAGUAUCAGGUGCAUUUAAGGAGGUAACCACAAUCUCAACUGCAGGUGUCGAACAUGUGUAUUCUAUUGUGUUGAUGUUCAAAUAAAACUACUAAUUAAUUAAUUAAUUAUCUUAUUAAUGAAGAUUGUGCACUUUAUCUUGAAAGGUAAUAUAUCUCAUGCAUUUUAGGAGCCAAAUCAGCCGACCCCACCUAGUGAAACAAAGAAUGCUUUGUUGUUGUUGUAUUUUAGGAGCCAAAUCCUUCAAGAACACAAGUAAUAUGGAUAUAGUGGUGAAUGAUAAGAUUGGAGUUAGUGCUCUCUGUAUAAAUUCGACCCCUUCAUCACUUUUGAUUGCUUUGUACAAAGUCGUUAAAGUACUUUCUGUGUCGUUAUGGAUCGUGAAAUAAUUCACAGGACAUCUAGCCAACUUUAAUCCAUUUGAAAUUCUGUGGCAAUUGUUUACUGUUGAGCUUCAUAAUUAGGUUAGUUGGAAUAUGUAGAAUUCGGAACGCAAUGGUCCUCAGUUAUUCUAUUUUUGUUUAUGACCUUUACUGUUGGUUUUGGUUGUUGGGAAAUGUUUCCCUGAGGUCCUUAACAAUGAUGAUUUCAUGGCAGUUAUUUGCAGUGAGAAGGAGAUUAUUUGGUCUGUAAGAUGCACAUUGUUUUGGUUAUCCAAGAUCUAGUGAGAGAGCGGAGGUUUGUUUGUUUUGUCUGGGCUUUUUCAUGUUUUCAGUAGUUAGUAGGAACGGUAUGGUCAAAGAUUUGCUUAUUCUAGGAUAACAAGCUAGUUAGAAAUCCUUUAUUUUAUCAGCCUAAUCGCUCUUUUGAAAGAACUCAUCUUGGGGUGGGCUUACUAGUUAGAUGCUUUCAGCAGUUAUCCGCUCCGCACUUGGCUAUUUUCUUAUGAAGUUUUGUUAUAGCAUCUAUAAUGGUCUCUGGUUUAGGUGGACAGCCUGGCAAAUAGACAUCCACGGGAAUUAGCUUAUCAAGAAAAAGUAAAAUAUUAUUUUCUUUCAUCAAAAGACAUCAAUUACUAAGAUUCGAAGCAAUUAGUAUUAUUUUCCAAGGCAAAAGAGCCCCCGACCACGGAUGAUUUCAUUACCCUCACUAGCAAGAUUACGACCCUUAUUCCGAGCAUGUACAAAUGCUUGCAUGAAGGAGUCAGUCUUCUAUUCUAUUCCUUGGCGCAGCUGGGCCCCUGCUACGACAUUUGCACAUUUGGAUGCUACGACCGUCAUAUCUAGAGGAUUGGCUGCCAAAGGUAUCUAUCCAGCUGUCCAUCGACUACGCCUUUCGGCCUGAUCUUAGGCCCUUAGGUUUUCGAGGCAUUAGAUUCUCACCAACGUUUGCGUUACUCAAUCUUUGCUUAUCUUCAAGUCUUGGUUUGUUGAAUAGUGCCCUUAUGCAUGCAGAGAGAUGCACAGCCCUUGAUUUAUUUGAGGAUCAUCUGGCCUAGUGAUUUAGGUAUUCCUGAGGGUUUUGAGUUUGUUGACCUUAAGUGUGCAGGGAUUCCUACUUCCUCUGGAUAUACUUACUUUGCUUACAAUAAAGGUGAGUUCUUUUCCCUAUCAAAACUAUAUUAAUAUGCUAUUGAUGUUUUUCACCUACAGUUGGUUAUUGUGUAUGGGAAGAUACCAUUCAUUUUGGUUUGUCAAUUUAUCAAAUCCAUGAUUGUGAGUUCCUAGAAUCCAUAUUCAGACUUUGCAUUACUAGACAAUGGAAGGAAACAAAUUAAUUCAUUUCAGGAACAACUUUUGAAGUUCCUCAAGGUUGAUUCUUACCAGCUAGUGGAUGGCUGAGCCAAACCAUGCUUCGUUUAAGAUGCCUGAAUAGCUCUUGCUUUCUAGAAAGCCUAAUUUCAGAGUCAAAUCAUUCAUAAUAGGAAUACGAUGGUUAAUGUAUGCAAAAUAACUUACUCAUCAAUAGAUUUGAGUAUGUUGAAUCAGCUAUGAUGCUUUGUUCCACAGGAUAUAGAGCUUGAUGAUUCUAGUCUCGAGUUCCUUGACUAUGCUUCCCCAAUCUUAUUUUGAAUUACCCAACUCUGAGAUCCCUUGUACCUAUAGAUCAAGAUAAACGAACUAAUUUUUAAUGGAAUUAAUUUUGGAACUUGUGCAUCACCAACGUAGCUUUGGUAUUUCAGAUGACUUUUGCUAUGCAUGUAUUUUCCACCUUCUGCUAACAAAAAUAUGAUAUCUAGAUCAGGCCAUUGCUUGUAAUGAUUUGAAUUGCGGCCUGCUCCUAAAGAAGAACAACUCAUCUGGUUACUGAUGUGGUGCUCAGGCAGCAUCUACCAAUAGGAUUUGAAGCAUAACUGCUGAAAAUAUCUUUAGUCCUGGUGAACUCAUUAUUUUCAGUUGAUUGGAAGGACUGAAUGAUGUAGAGACAGUCAUCAAAGAAAAAGUCCAAAGGAACACUGCCAUUUUUGUGACAGUAGUUCUUAAAUGUGCCUUUUUCUGUUGUGGAUUAUUGUUUCCUGAAAAAAUUGGGGAAAUCAUUAAUAUUCUUUUCUUUGUCUUUUGAAUCUAUUUCUUACAUCUGAUGCAUUCUUUUGUUAUGUUUCUGGCAGAUCAUACCUUUUGGGUUGCAGGAUGGGUUGUGCCCUUGUUAUGGUACAAUACUAAAAGAGAUUCUCAUUUAGGUACACAAACAUGGCAGCAAUAUUCUGAAAGGUCCUGUUGAGUUCCUUCCAGUUGUCUCAUUUACGAGAUAUUACUGUUCAAUUUUUAGGUGUUCAAUUGAUUGGGAUACUUUGUUGCAUUCUAUGUAUAUGAGAGAUUCUCCUAGCACUGCCAUGGGAGUUUCUCUGCCAUAGUACUAGUUAGUGUGGCAAAUGGCAAUGCAACAUCACAUUGCCAUAGCUGCCAGGUAUUUGACAUAUAACUUGUACGAUAUUGAAAAUGGUGAGCUAACAAGAGCCUCUCUUGUUUCCCCAUAUUCUUUCUUUUUAGGUUCAGCAUAAACCCAAAAGAACGCAAUUGAAAAAAGGUCUGCAGUGGCUCUCUUUUA